Molecule: non-coding RNA, 230 nt
Organism: Manis javanica (Malayan pangolin)
Lineage: Eukaryota; Metazoa; Chordata; Mammalia; Pholidota; Manidae
Source: RefSeq, a predicted model, not a curated record
CCCGGGCAUACCAUUCUGCAGCUCAGACCUCCUUGGUUUGGCUUUUGCUUCUGGUCUCCAUGGCUGUGGAUUGGAGUGGGAUGGCAUGGGACUGUUGUCUCCGUCUGCCUAUUAGCAUCUUCCAUGUCCAGGUGCCCAGGCCUUGCAGUUACCUGCUGUCAACUGUGGUGAUGCAGAUGAUGUCCCUUCUGUGAUAUAUUCAGAUAUAAUUAAGUGUGACUCUGGACCCC